UCCUCCAUUCAGUUUACUGUGAUGCACAUCCGGGUCGUUGAAGAAGAGCAAUCACGUGUAGAGUGCAGAACUCUCCUUCGGCCAUUGAGCACCCACUCUGUAUUUUGUUUUGGGCCAUUUCCUUCUCUACCAUUGAACCAUGAACGUGUAGGUAAUGGUAAUAUAUCCCUGGGAAUUACGUUGAAGAAGUGUUAUUUUCCCCGCUUCUACCCUGCCUAUGAUCGGCUAAUCCCUCGUCUGCUAAUCGCUAACGUUAGCCUAGCUGUGAUGCUAACCGGUGCUACGAACUUGACGGAUUAGGGAAGAGAGCGACUCGGCCUCAGCGCUCACGUCGCUCCCGAUUGCAGCAGCUACUGGAGGCGUCACCACUUUGUCCACGACACCGUCCACGAUUGCAGAGACUUCGUCCAUGAUCGGAGAGACAUUGUUGAGGAUGAGGGAGACAUCGUCCAUGAUCAGAGACAUUGUCCAUGAUAGCAGAGACCUUGUCAAAGAUGAGAGAGACGUUGUCCAUGAUCAGAGACAUUAUCCAUGCUUCGUAGAGACCUUGCGAUAGAAUCGGCGGAGACGGGGGUCACCGAUUUGACGGCAUUGCCCGCGAUCAUGGAGACAUUGUCGAUGAUCACAGAGCCUUUGUCCAUAAUCUCAGAGACAUUGUCCACGAUCACAGAGAGUCUUCGUACAAUGAAGCAGUUCUUUGAGACCAGGACAGACGCCUCCAGGCGUCACCACUUUGUCCACGACAUCGUCCACGAUCGCAGAGACUUCGUCCAUGAUCGGAGAGACAUUGUUGAGGAUGAGGGAGACAUCGUCCAUGAUCAGAGACAUUGUCCAUGAUAGCAGAGACCUUGUCAAAGAUGAGAGAGACGUUGUCCAUGAUCAGAGACAUUAUCCAUGCUUCGUAGAGACCUUGCGAUAGAAUCGGCGGAGACGGGGGUCACCGAUUUGACGGCAUUGCCCGCGAUCAUGGAGACAUUGUCGAUGAUCACAGAGACACCGUCUAUGAUCUCAGAGACAUCGUCCACGAUCACACAGACAUUGUCCAUGAUCACAGAGACUUUGUCCAUAAUCUCGGAGACAUUGUCCGCGAUCACAGAGACGUAGUCCACGAUCACAGAGAGUCUUCGUACAAUGAAGCAGUUAUUUGAGACCAGGACAGAGGCCUCCAGGCGUCACCACUUUGUCCACGACAUCGUCCACGAUCGCAGAGACUUCGUCCAUGAUCGGAGAGACAUUGUUGAGGAUGAGGGAGACAUCGUCCAUGAUCAGAGACGUUGUCCAUGAUAGCAGAGACCUUGUCAAAGAUGAGAGAGACGUUGUCCAUGAUCAGAGACAUUAUCCAUGCUUCGUAGAGACCUUGCGAUAGAAUCGGCGGAGACGGGGGUCACCGAUUUGACGGCAUUGCCCGCGAUCAUGGAGACAUUGUCGAUGAUCACAGAGACACCGUCUAUGAUCUCAGAGACAUCGUCCACGUCACACAGACAUUGUCCAUGAUCACAGAGCCUUUGUCCAUAAUCUCGGAGACAUUGUCCGCGAUCACAGAGACGUAGUCCACGAUCACAGAGAGUCUUCGUACAAUGAAGCAGUUCUUUGAGACCAGGACAGAGGCCUCCAGGCGUCACCACUUUGUCCAUGACAUCGUCCACGAUCGCAGAGACUUCGUCCAUGAUCGGAGAGACAUUGUUGAGGAUGAGGGAGACAUCGUCCAUUAUCAGAGACAUUGUCCAUGAUAGCAGAGACCUUGUCAAAGAUGAGAGAGACGUUGUCCAUGAUCAGAGACAUUAUCCAUGCUUCGUAGAGACCUUGCGAUAGAAUCGGCGGAGACGGGGGUCACCGAUUUGACGGCAUUGCCCGCGAUCAUAGAGACAUUGUCGAUGAUCACAGAGACACCGUCUAUGAUCUCAGAGACAUCGUCCACGAUCACACAGACAUUGUCCAUGAUCACAGAGACUUUGUCCAUAAUCUCGGAGACAUUGUCCGCGAUCACAGAAACGUAGUCCACGAUCACAGAGAGUCUUUGUACAAUGAAGCAGUUAUUUGGGACCAGGACAGAGGCCUCCAGGCAUCACCACUUCGGCCAUGACAUUGUCCACGAUAGCAGCGACGCCGUCCACAAUAACAGAGAGUCUUCAUACAAUGAAGAGAGACUUCUUUGAGACCAGAACAGAGGCCUCCAGGCAUCACCACUUCGGCCAUGACAUUGUCCACGAUAGCAGCGACGCCGUCCACAAUAACAGAGAGUCUUCAUACAAUGAAGAGAGACUUCUUUGAGACCAGAACAGAGGCCUCCAGAAGACGACUACAGCAGCUGAAGAUGAAAGAAAACAGAAGUGUUACGAAGCCAUUAAUUAGAUAAGACUUCCACCAUCUAUAAUGUAGUCAAUGGUACAUUUUCCAAAGACUAAUAUGUCUUUACUAAACACCUCAUUCAACAAUUAUUUAAUUAAUAAUUGUACCACAAGCAGUUAAAAUGAUCACAAAGAUGCUUAGUAGACAUAUUCAUCUUUGGAAAAUGUGCUCAUAACUACAUUAAUUCUAACCAGCUCUAACAAUUGUUUCCUCGUGGUCACAUGUCUGUCAUUAUCUUUGCUAUGAUUUGUUGUCUGGAAUAAAAACAAGUGUCUUUCUAAACUAUUUAGUUGUGUUUUUUAUGGUUUUACACUCAUUGUUCAGACAUAUUUUGUAAGGGUUUUUAAAUAUUUUAAGUUUCAUAAUUAUGUUUUAGUUUUAAAUAAAGAUCCUACAGGUUUGUUUUAGA
Long non-coding RNA from Lates calcarifer (barramundi perch), 2758 nucleotides. RefSeq lists it as uncharacterized. The transcript is spliced from 8 exons. The record is from RefSeq and is a predicted model, not a curated record. Lineage: Eukaryota; Metazoa; Chordata; Actinopteri; Centropomidae.